AAUUAAAAUUUUUAUGGUUUAAAUAAUUUAUUUUAAAUUUAUUUUACAUAUAAAUUUUAGUGUAUAAUUUUAUUUAUUUUGAUAAUAUUUAAAUUUAUUAAAUAGUAAUUAAUAUUAAAAAUUUAAGAAAUUAAGAUUUAGUAAUAUAAAAAUUAAAAACUAAUUUUGUGCCAGCAGUUGCGGUUAAACAAAUUUUAAAAUAAAUUUUUUUAGUGAUUAAUAAUUAAUUUUAAUUAUAAUAAUUUAAAACUUAAAUUAUUAGGUGAAAUUUUAAUUUAAGAUAAUUUUAUUUAUAAUUUUAUUAAGAAAUUAAUAAAUUUUAUGAAAAACUAGGAUUAGAUACCCUAUUAUUAAAAAUUUAAAUUUAAUAUACUAAAAUAGUAAUUAAUUUUUUUAUUGAAACUUAAAUAAGUUGGCGGUAUUUUAGUUCAUUUAGAGGAAUCUGUUAAGUAAUUGAUAAUCCACGAUUAAAUUUACUUAAUUUUUAAAAUUUGUAUAUCGUUGUUAUAAAAAUAUUUUUUAAGGAUAAUAAUAUUUAAAAAUUUUUAAUAAAAUUUAAAUCAGAUCAAGAUGCAGUUUAUAAUUAAGAUUAUAAUGGAUUACAAUAAAUUUAUUUAAAUGAAUAUAAAUUUUUAAUAAUUUAUUGAAAGUGGAUUUAAAUGUAAUUUUAUUUAGUUUUUUAAAAUGAUUUAAAAUUAAAAUAUGUACAUAUUGCCCGUCACUUUCAUAAAUAAAUUGAAAUAAGUCGUAACAAAGUAGAGAUACUGGAAAGUGUUUCUAGAAAGAUU
RNAcentral lists this non-coding RNA (788 nucleotides) under Gastropacha populifolia. Lineage: Eukaryota; Metazoa; Arthropoda; Insecta; Lepidoptera; Lasiocampidae. The record is from RNAcentral.